AUUUUAAUAAAUGUCAAGAUAUAUAUUUAGGUUAAUUUGCCUUUUGCAUCAUGCUUAUUGGAUUAAUUUAAAGUAUUUUAUUAACCAAAAAGUCUAGAUCUUAUGAUUGUUUGUUUUGAACUUUUAUUUUUGGGUAAAGAAUAAUUAAAACAAUCGUAUGGUGUGAUAAAUUAUUCGUUAGAUUUUAUAUUUGUUUUACUGCUUUGUAUUUAGUAAUAUGUUAUUGGCUAUUAGGUCAGUUGCAGGUUUAUAUUGUUUUUAUUAUUGUUUUUUUAUUGGGUUAAAAGUACCCAUUUUUUGUAAAGUUGUUAUAAACUUAGUUUUGUAAUAAUAUUAAAUUAAGUAGUUUGGCAGUAUAUAAUAAAGAUUAGAUAUUAAUAAUCAAUAAAUAAGUAAUUUAAUUAUGUUAAUUAUUUCUAGUAACUUUUCCGUCUGUUUAUUAAAAACAUUGCUAAUUUAAAAUUUAAUUAGUAGUACCUGCCCAGUGUUGUUAAUAAAUGGCCGCAGUAUAUUGACUGUGCAAAGGUAGCAUAAUUAAUUGCCUUUUAAUUGGGGGCUUGUUUGAAUGGUUUGACGAGAUAAGUGUUAAUAUUUAACAUUUGUGUGAAUUUAAUAUUAAGGGUUCAGAAUCCUUAUAUAUUAAUAAGACGGAAAGACCCUAGGAUCUUUUAUUUUUGUUUGGGGCAAAUUUGUAUAGUUUAUAGAAAUUGCGACCCUAAUGGGUUAAUGAGUAAAGUUACCCUAGGGAUAACAGAGUGAUAAUUAAUGAGAGAUCUUAUCGAAUUAAUUGUUUGCUACCUCGAUGUUGACUUAGGUUAGGGCUUAGGUGCAGUAGUUUAAGUUGUAGGUCUGUUCGACCUUUAAACCUCCAUGAGUUGAGUUAAGACCGGCGUGAGCCAGGUCGGUUCUUAUCUAUUGUAGAAAUUUAUCAGUACGAAAGGAUAGUAAAUUUUUUUAUU
RNAcentral lists this ribosomal RNA (959 nucleotides) under Hydatigera sp. HCFr. RNAcentral describes it as "large subunit ribosomal RNA". The stretch from base 642 to 917 matches the Rfam family "Bacterial large subunit ribosomal RNA", at positions 2074 to 2646 of the family's 2925-position model. The record is from RNAcentral. Lineage: Eukaryota; Metazoa; Platyhelminthes; Cestoda; Cyclophyllidea; Taeniidae.